GAAGAUGACCGGGAAAGCUCACACACA
RNAcentral lists this non-coding RNA (27 nucleotides) under Mus musculus (house mouse). Lineage: Eukaryota; Metazoa; Chordata; Mammalia; Rodentia; Muridae. The record is from RNAcentral.